GCAGUGGGGAAUAUUGCACAAUGGGGGAAACCCUGAUGCAGCGACGCCGCGUGAGUGAAGAAGUAUUUCGGUAUGUAAAGCUCUAUCAGCAGGGAAGAUAAUGACGGUACCUGACUAAGAAGCCCCGGCUAACUACGUGCCAGCAGCCGCGGUAAUACGUAGGGGGCAAGCGUUAUCCGGAUUUACUGGGUGUAAAGGGAGCGUAGGUGGCAGGGCAAGUCAGAUGUGAAAACCCGGGGCUCAACUCCGGGAGUGCAUUUGAAACUGUCCAGCUAGAGUGCAGGAGAGGUAAGCGGAAUUCCUAGUGUAGCGGUGAAAUGCAUAGAUAUUAGGAGGAACACCAGUGGCGAAGGCGGCUUACUGGACUGUAACUGACACUGAGGCUCGAAAGCGUGGGGAGCAAACAGGAUUAGAUACCCUGGUAGUCCACGCCGUAAACGAAGAAUACUAGGUGUCGGGGCCCACAGGGCUUCG
RNAcentral lists this ribosomal RNA (474 nucleotides) under uncultured bacterium. RNAcentral's name for it is "bacterial SSU rRNA". It matches the Rfam family "Bacterial small subunit ribosomal RNA", at positions 351 to 842 of the family's 1533-position model. The record is from RNAcentral.